CUAGUAAUCGCGGAUCAGCAUGCCGCGGUGAGUACGUUCCCGGGCCUUGUACACACCGCCCGUCACACCAUGAGAGCCGAUAACACCCGAAGCCUGUGAGCUAACCGGUAAGGGGGGCAGCAGUCGAAGGUGGGGGUUGGUGAUUGGGGGUGAAGUCGUAACAAGGUAGC
This 170-nucleotide ribosomal RNA is filed under the name uncultured bacterium. Its description in RNAcentral is "partial 16S ribosomal RNA". It matches the Rfam family "Bacterial small subunit ribosomal RNA", at positions 1335 to 1500 of the family's 1533-position model. The record is from RNAcentral.